CCUUUAUACACACCGCCCGUCGCUACUACCGAUUAAAUAGCUCAGUGAGGCUUUCGGACUAGCCCGGAAUAGGGGGCGACCCCCGUCCUGGGCCGGAAAGUUAUCCGAACUCGGUCAUUUAGAGG
RNAcentral lists this ribosomal RNA (125 nucleotides) under Chordomyces sp. RNAcentral describes it as "partial small subunit ribosomal RNA". It matches the Rfam family "Eukaryotic small subunit ribosomal RNA", at positions 1657 to 1779 of the family's 1831-position model. Lineage: Eukaryota; Fungi; Ascomycota; Sordariomycetes; Glomerellales; Plectosphaerellaceae. The record is from RNAcentral.